CCAAUAGCGUAUAUUAAAGUUGUUGCAGUUAAAAAGCUCGUAGUUGAAUUUCGGGAUCAGUAGGUUGGUCAUGCCUUUGGUAUGUACUGGUCUCACUGAUUCCUCCCUCUUGAAGAACCGUAAUGUCAUUAAUUUGAUGUUGCGGGGAAACAGGACUGUUACUUUGAAAAAAUUAGAGUGUUUAAAGCAGGCUCACGCUUGAAUACAUUAGCAUGGAAUAAUGAAAUAGGACGUUCGAUCCUAUUUUGUUGGUUUCUAGGAUUGACGUAAUGAUUAAUAGGGAUAGUUGGGGGCAUUAGUAUUCAAUUGUCAGAGGUGAAAUUCUUGGAUUUAUUGAAGACUAACUACUGCGAAAGCAUUUGCCAAGGAUGUUUUCAUUAAUCAAGAACGAAAGUUAGGGGAUCGAAGACGAUCAGAUACCGUCGUAGUCUUAACCAUAAACUAUGCCGACUAGGGAUCGGAUGAUGUUAAUUUUUUAAUGACUCAUUCGGCGCCUUACG
This 500-nucleotide ribosomal RNA is filed under the name uncultured Glomeromycotina. RNAcentral describes it as "partial small subunit ribosomal RNA". It matches the Rfam family "Eukaryotic small subunit ribosomal RNA", at positions 591 to 1092 of the family's 1831-position model. Lineage: Eukaryota; Fungi; Glomeromycota. The record is from RNAcentral.